Oryza sativa Japonica Group (Japanese rice) is the source of this 197-nucleotide microRNA precursor. It matches the Rfam family "MIR812 microRNA precursor family". NCBI's taxonomy places the organism in Eukaryota, Viridiplantae, Streptophyta, Magnoliopsida, Poales, Poaceae. The record is from Rfam.
AAUAAGUUUAUUGGUAGGUUUCUAUAUCUAACUUUUGACCGUUCGUCUUAUCUGAAAAUUUUUAAAAAACAAGUCAUGCAUAAAGUACUAUUUAUAUCUUAUCAUCUAAUAACAACAAAAAUACUAGUAAUUCAUAAAAAGAGCAAAUAAGACAUACGGUCAAACAUUGCACACAUAAACAUAUAAAUGAACUUAUU